RNAcentral lists this unclassified non-coding RNA (247 nucleotides) under fungal sp. RNAcentral's name for it is "partial internal transcribed spacer region". The stretch from base 1 to 46 matches the Rfam family "Eukaryotic small subunit ribosomal RNA", at positions 1786 to 1831 of the family's 1831-position model. The record is from RNAcentral. Lineage: Eukaryota; Fungi.
AAGUCGUAACAAGGUUUCCGUAGGUGAACCUGCGGAAGGAUCAUUAACACUAAUGAAAUCCAAAACCUUUUGGAUCAACCCAACCUUAGCGAACCGUUCGUUUUUUUUCCCUUUGCCCAUCAUUUUAUGAAACGCAAACAAAUCUGAUGUAAAAGUGUCUGAUUCUUAUUCCCGUUUUUCUUAAUCGAAAAGCUGGAAUCAAAAAUCUAACGCAAUACAACUCUUAACAACGGAUAUCUUGGCUCUC